Molecule: ribosomal RNA, 297 nt
Filed under: Triticum aestivum (bread wheat)
Lineage: Eukaryota; Viridiplantae; Streptophyta; Magnoliopsida; Poales; Poaceae
Description: partial small subunit ribosomal RNA
Source: RNAcentral
AUGCUGCUGCUGAGGCGACGACCCUUCCGAGCUUCCCGGCCCCGGUCGUCGCAUGGGACGAGGACGAGCUCCCAUCCCACCGCGGUCACCUCUGGUUGGCGCGCCCGCGCCAUCACGGCUUCUUCCACCGCCGCGGCGCGUUCUCCGGCCUGGGCGAGGCCCGCGUCCAACCUGCGGCCUUCUUCCCCACGGAGGUGCUGGGAGAAGAGCAAGCACACUGGGAGGCGGUGCUGGAGGUGGUCGCGGAGCCUGAACCCGACACCCACGGCGAGGAGGGUGAGGGGAACGAGGCAGUGA